GAUGAACGCUGGCGGCGUGCCUAAUACAUGCAAGUCGAGCGAACAGACGAGGAGCUUGCUCCUCUGACGUUAGCGGCGGACGGGUGAGUAACACGUGGAUAACCUACCUAUAAGACUGGGAUAACUUCGGGAAACCGGAGCUAAUACCGGAUAACAUGUUGAACCGCAUGGUUCAACAGUGAAAGACGGUCUUUCUGUCACUUAUAGAUGGAUCCGCGCCGCAUUAGCUAGUUGGUAAGGUAACGGCUUACCAAGGCAACGAUGCGUAGCCGACCUGAGAGGGUGAUCGGCCACACUGGAACUGGGACACGGUCCAGACUCCUACGGGAGGCAGCAGUAGGGAAUCUUCCGCAAUGGGCGAAAGCCUGACGGAGCAACGCCGCGUGAGUGAAGAAGGUCUUCGGAUCGUAAAACUCUGUUAUUAGGGAAGAACAAAUGUGUAAGUAACUAUGCACGUCUUGACGGUACCUAAUCAGAAAGCCACGGCUAACUACGUG
RNAcentral lists this ribosomal RNA (497 nucleotides) under uncultured bacterium. RNAcentral describes it as "partial 16S ribosomal RNA". It matches the Rfam family "Bacterial small subunit ribosomal RNA", at positions 28 to 507 of the family's 1533-position model. The record is from RNAcentral.